UACGUAGGUCCCAAGCGUUGUCCGGAUUUAUUGGGCGUAAAGCGAGCGCAGGUGGUCUAUUAAGUCUGGUGUAAAAGGCAAUGGCUCAACCAUUGUAUGCAUUGGAAACUGGUAGACUUGAGUGCAGGAGAGGAGAGUGGAAUUCCAUGUGUAGCGGUGAAAUGCGUAGAUAUAUGGAGGAACACCGGUGGCGAAAGCGGCUCUCUGGCCUGUAACUGACACUGAGGCUCGAAAGCGUGAGGAGCAAACAGG
Molecule: ribosomal RNA, 252 nt
Filed under: uncultured bacterium
Lineage: Bacteria
Description: partial 16S ribosomal RNA
Rfam family: Bacterial small subunit ribosomal RNA
Source: RNAcentral